Hydractinia symbiolongicarpus is the source of this 3915-nucleotide RNA transcript. It is a transcript of the gene named protein dispatched homolog 1-like, with no coding region annotated. The transcript is spliced from 7 exons. Lineage: Eukaryota; Metazoa; Cnidaria; Hydrozoa; Anthoathecata; Hydractiniidae. The record is from RefSeq and is a predicted model, not a curated record.
ACUAAACGAAAAACGUUUAUUCAGAAGAGAAAUGAUAAAUUAUUAAAACUGACGCAAAUUAUAUAUAUAAGAAACGUAAAUAAAAGCUACCAUAAAUAAUAAAUUUUUUUAUUAAAUUUUUUCUACUGUGUCAAAGAAGGAGAUUUAUCAUGAUCCAUCCUGAAAGUGAAGUAAAGGAAGACAUGGGGAAGGAAAUCCCCGAUGAAGAACUUUUGAGUCUUUACGAGAAAAAGCGAAAGAAAGAAGAGAAUGAUUUUGUGGCAAGAUUGUUGAAGCCGUACUCCACCUUCUUGGUUAAAUAUCCUUUUGUUAUUAUUCUCCUCCUCAUUGUCACAAUAAUAUUUUCGGGAAUAUUAAGCGUGCUACCUGCUACUGGUGCAAAAGAUUUUCCAGACUUCUCCGAUCCAACCAAGGGAUUUGAAGCACGUGGAACGACCAUCUCUUCCAGAGGUAUUGCUUUUGUAAACACAGCCGAUGUGCCAAGAAGGCAACGAGGUCGAAGAAGCGUUAACAACGGAUUAUGGAAUACAAACUUGCGAGAAGUAAAAAUUGAUAGCGAUUUUGUUAUGGUAUAUGAGCACAGCGGUGGAGGGAAUUUAAUAAAACAUAUGAAAACAAUUUGUCAGAUGCAUAAAAAGAAAAUUGAGAGCGAGGCGGGGUAUCACACCUAUUUUUAUACAACUCAUCACCUUCCUAAUUACAUAGCGUUACUUACCAACAAAACAGACUGCAUGAGUAUAACGCAGAACGAUAUUGAUGAAUUCUUUUCUCUAUUAAAAAACUGUGUGGCAAAUUAUAAGAAUAUGAAGUACAAGAAUUGCAUAAAAGAUGAGGUAAAAUGUGCUAGCGUUACUACUUCAUGUCGUUCACACGUCAACAUACCACAUAAACAAGACUUUGCUACUUUUGUUUACAAUGUUUUCUUUUUUUUAACUGAUACUGCAUUCUCGAAUGACGUCACCACUUUAAGUCACGUGACAAGCAUGGAUAUGUAUGAUUUUAGAAGCUACGAUUUUUUUCAAACUUUAUACGAUAGAAGUUUAAAAGACCUCGAUAACGCUGUUUAUAACGACGUGAAAAUUGUUGCUUUUAACAUGCAGGGAUUUAAGUUCCACGUGUUUCAAACAGAAGUUAUCGUGCAAUCGUUGUUUAUCAUAAGUGCUAUCAUUUUGGUUGUCUUAUUUAUUUGGUUUUAUUCGGGUUCCCUUUUCAUCGGUUUAAUGACGUUAGGUUGUGUUCUGUUUGCCACAAUCAUUUCAUAUUUUGUUUAUGGGCGUGUCUUUGACAUGGAUUUUUUUCCGUUUCUGAACAUGGUGACAACCAUCUUUAUUGUUGGCAUCGGCGCCGACGAUGCAUUUGUCUAUACAGGGAUCUGGGAAGAAGCCAAACUUGUUUACGUUAUAACAAAUACCGCUGAGCACGUGGAAUAUUUGAUAAAAUGGACCACUCAUACAUUACGUCACGCUCUGUUGGCUAUGUUUGUGACAUCAUUAACAACCGCAGCAGCGUUUUACUCGAAUAUCUCUUCUAGUGUGACGAGUGUCAAAUGUUUUGGUUUGUACUCUGGAACCGCCAUUAUUGUUAACUAUUUGUUGAUGGUAACGUUCUUUCCAGCUGUUGUUAUUAUCCACGACAAAUACUUAUCAAAAUGCAUGCAUGCUUGUUGCCCAAGUACUUGUAAAUCUCGACCGCAAGUUAAAAAUCAGGACCGGAAUUAUAAACACACAGCAUCAGGCAACAUGCAGGAGAUCUCCGAGAGAGAAGUCGAACUUAAAACAUCAAAACCAUUUGUUACUAAGCUACAAGCAGUCUUAGAUAUUGUUUCCGAGAAAAUCUUUGAGAAAUAUCUGCCAGGUAUUAUUUUUAAGUUGCGAUUCGUUUGGAUUGUUAUUCUUUUUUGCAUCGGCGUUGGUGGAAUUAUCGUCACCUUUAUAGAGCCUGGAUUAAGUCUUCCAUCCACGGGUGAAUUCCAAAUGUUCACUAGUUCCAACUCCCUCGAACAAUUCGAGUUAACAUAUAAAAGGAAAUUUUCGUUUAGUGCUAGUUCAAGUAAAGGUAACCAGAAGCUGCGAUUUGUUUUUGGAGUAAAACCGGUAGAUAACGGUAACAAGUUCAAUCCAGACGAUCUGGGCACGUUAGAGUAUGACGGGCCGUUAGAUAUUGCAAACGAACAAAUUUGGUUACGGAGUUUUUGUACAAACAUACGAAAUGAAACUUUUUAUAUAUCAUCCCACACCUGUGAUAUUAUUGAAGCUUUCUUCACUGGGUUGACCUCAACUUGUAAUUCCACGUGUUGCAACUACACGCUUCCCGUCCCUAAAGACGAUUUCUUAACUUGCUUGUUACGUAAGAAAUCUUUGCUUACAAGCGCUAAGUUUGACGACAGUAAUAAUUUGUUGUCGUUUAUAUUGUACGUCGAAUCGUCGCAUCGCACCACGGAUGCUUAUGGAUACAACGAAGAAUUAUUCAAUACAAUGGAGAGGUGGUUCGACACUCAGAUGAGCAAAACAUCGUUUAAAGGCUUUUGGUAUAUGGAUCAACAGUUUUACGAUCUCCAAAUCAGUUUGUUUAAAGGAACUAAAGAAUCGCUAGCGAUCGCUAUCGCUGUUGCGUUUGUGGUCAUUCUCCUCACAACCUUAAAUGUGCUCCUCAGCAUCUACUCCAUCCUCACUAUCUCAUUCAUCAUCUCCGUCACUGUUGGAAUACUCGUGCUCAGUGGAUGGGAAUUAAACAUCAUGGAGUCUGUUGUGUUCUCCGUCGCAGCUGGUUUAUCUGCUGAUUUUACUCUCCAUUACAGUGUCGCGUAUAAGACGUCUUUACUUAAAAAUAACCGAGUCGAGCGCGUCAAGAGUGCGAUAAAUCACAUUGGACCAGCUAUUUUAAUGGGAGCUUUCACAACAUUCAUUGCAGGUCUGGUGAUGACACCUUCAAGCGUCUUAGUGUACAUACAGAUGGCGCAGUUUCUGAUGCUGGUCAUGAUGAUUAGUUGGUUGUUUAGUACAAUGUUCUUCUUGCCGCUUUGCGCUGUGAUUGGACCAACGGGUAAUUUCUGCCAAAUAACAAUGGGAAAAUCUUCAGCCAAUCAAAAUGAAACUGAACGCGUUGAGCUGAAAGACGCUCCUCCCUCGAAACAAAACGUAUCUGAAAUUGCAGAUGUGGAAGGUUCUUCUCCUUUGGUACAAAAAACAUCUGAAAAGAUAAAUGCUGAUCGACAGCAUAGCUCAACAGAAAAAUUAAAUGCGAUAUCAAACACUGAUGAAAACGCAGUGCCGAACAAAAAGAGGGAAAAUGUACCAAAGAAGAGCGAAAUUACGUAGAAGUGAUUGGCCUGUAUGUGGAUUCACAUUUCAAACAUCCUUGCACCAUCUUUUAAUAAAAAAAACAUCAGCAAAGGAUAAUGCACCAAUAAGAGUUAUCAAUGAACAAAAUACUGUUUAAGCGAAACAGAACUUGUUAAAAAGCAUUUUUUUUCAAGAAAGCACUUACAUCAUUUAAACUUCGAUGAAUUGUCUGGGACUUAUGCUUUUCUUGAGAAGAGAUGUGCUGGUAUUUUUGCUAUUUUGUGAACUGCACUAAAAUGACAUACAAGCGCACUUUCAAAUUAAUGCUGUUUCAUCCUCGUUUCCAGGGUUGUAUCCCUUUAAAUUUCUUAGACAAGUCGAUGGAGUUGUUUUAAAGGUGACACAUGCAUGAUAUUACGUUGCAACGUCAUAUAUAUCUUAGAAGAUUUCCGCAGGAUUUUUAAUUUUACAAAAAGCUGAAAGAACAAUGAUAGAGGGUCUUGAUUUAGCGAGUUUUCAGUUGCAAACUUUUUUAAUUUUGCGAAUUUUUAAUUUUAGCUUCUUGUAGUACCUAAAAUAUUAAAGUUUUAUAAAUAUUCUGCACAAAAAAGAAAAAAAGAGACGGGUGUUGGCA